CCUCAUGCUUCACUUGGUGUCCACCAGCACUCCCAGGUCCUUCUCCGCAGAGCUGCUUUCCAGCAGGUCAACCCCAACCUGUCCUGGCGCAUGGGGUUAAACAACCCCCCCUUGGGAGCCCAGAUGCCACCAGCCCCACUCUCAGCGGAGACRACAGGGCACUGCACCACCAGCUUGGCCUCAGCACCGUCUGCGCCCGCACGCCGGCCCCCCUGCCCGUCCCGCCAGCCCCCGCCAGCUCACCAGCUCGUAGAUCAGGAGCCUGCGGCAGUGCUCAGCCAGGACGCUGCUCCUCUCGCAGAGCRGGGACACGGCGAAGACGCCCCGGAGCGGGUGGCGGAAGGAAACCCGCAGCAGGUCCAGGGCCAGGAGCACAGCUCCCACCAGCGAGGCGAGGAAGCCGAGGCAGCUGGAGACGGCGCUGCAGGACACCUGACGUCUCGAGGGGUUUGUAGCCGCGGAGGAGAUGUAAUAGCCGGCGACGACAUACUGGAAGGGAGAGAAGAACGGGCGCUCAGGUCCUGCCUCCCCGGUCCCGCCGGCGAAGCCCUCCCAGGCUCCCCGCUUACCAGCGCGGCCCCCCAGAGCGGGUACCAGUAGGCGAUGCACAGCUCGCGGUCGCCGGAAGCGAAGAACAAGGUGCCGCCGAGCCCGAGGAGCACGAGCCCCGUGAAGACCUGCACCACCUGCGAGGAAGGGAACGUGCCCAGGGUGCGAGCGCCACCAGGACGGCCGCGAGCCCCCCGCUGCGGCAGAGGCGCCUUAGAGAAGGGGGACGCCCGAGGGACGGCGACCGAUCCCCCCCCCCCGCCACCGCGACUUACCCCGAGCACCCAGCGGCCGGCCCACGCCGUGCACCCAGCCUGGGCCAGCUGCGGGCGGCUCCCCGGGGCGACGGCGAGCGGCAUCCGCGCUGCAAUCGGGCUGGCUCGCCCUCCCCUCCACUCGGGAGCCCGGGAAAGCGGGGCCGGCACCAAGCCGCCGGGACCCGGAAAGGGGUCGGGAGCGAGUGCCAGGGUGGGGCGCGGAGGGAGAUUCCCCCCCCACACCCCCCCCGACCGGGGCUGCGGCUCACGUGUUUUCUGAGAAAAGCAGAAAUGAAAGUCUUGCUUCCUAGAACGGCGCAAG
RNAcentral lists this long non-coding RNA (1128 nucleotides) under Apteryx haastii (Great spotted kiwi). RNAcentral describes it as "lncRNA (ENSAHAG00000005480.1)". Lineage: Eukaryota; Metazoa; Chordata; Aves; Apterygiformes; Apterygidae. The record is from RNAcentral.